CUCUCUUUCUUUCUCUCUUUUUCUCUUUGCUCAUUUUUGUUUCUUAAAUUCCACAUAUGAAUGAAAUCAGAUGAUAUUUGUCUUUCUCUAAUUUAUUUUGCUUAGUAUUAUACCCUCUAGCUCCAUCCAUGUUGUUGCAAAUGGUAAAAUUUCAUUCUUUUUUUAUGGAUGAAUAAUGUUCUAUAUAUACAUACACACAUUCCAUCUUCUUUAUCCAUUCAUCUGCAGAUGGACACGGCUGCUUCCAUAAUUUGGCUAUUGUAAAUAAUGUUGCUAGAAAUAUAGUGGUGUGUGUAUACCCUUAAAUUAGUAUUUUCAUAUUUUUUUUUAGUAGAUGCCCAGUAGUACAAUGACUGGAUCAUAGGGUAGUUCUAUUUUUAAUUUUUUGAGGAAGCUCCGUCUUGUUUUCCACAGUAGCUGCACCAGUUUGCAUUCCCACCAACAGUGCAAGAUGGUUCCUUUUUCUCCACAUCCUCAUUAACACUAGUUCCUUCUUGUGUUUUUUAUUUUAGCCAUUCUGCCAGGUGUGAGGUGCCAUCUCCUUGUGCUUUUGGUUUGUAUUUCCCUUGUGCUUUUGGUUUGUAUUUCCCUGUGACAUUAAGCAUCUUUUCUUGUCUCUUGGCCAUUCAUAUGUCUUCUUUGGAGAAAUGUCUGUUCACAUCUUCUGCCCAUUUUUAAUUAGGUAAUUUGUGGGGUUUUUUUGGUGUUGAGUUUUGUAAGUUAUUUAUAUAUUUUGUAUACUCUUUAUGACUUUGACACUUUUGAAGAGUACAAAUCAGAUAGUAAGGUCUACCUCAAUUGGGAUCUGACAUUUUCCCAUACUUAAACUGGAGUUAUGAAUUUGCAAGAAAAUUUUUACAAAGGUGAAAUGCCUUCAUUGCAUCAUAUCUCAGGAUACAUGAUAUUAACAUGCCUUACUAAAAAUGUUGCUUUAAUCAUUUGAUCCACGUAGUGUCCAGCAAGCUUCUUGUAAAGUUUCUAUUUUCCCUUCCCGUAAUGCAUCUUAAAGUUUACUCUACUAAUCUUGUCUACAGCAACUAUUGCUGUGCUAUUAUUGGUGAUUUUCUAAUUCCUUUAUCUCUUUUACAUUUAUUAUUUGGAAUUCUUCUGUAAGAAAGAUAUAUCUUUUCGUUUCUUUCUUCCUUUCCUUUUCUUUCUUUCUUUCUUUCUUUCUUUCUUUCUUUCUUUCUUUCUUUCUUUCUUUCUUUCUUUCUUUCUUUCUUUCUUUCUUUUAGUAUUAGUUAUAUCAGUAUGGACUCAUAGGUAUUUAUUUGAUUUCUUUGGGUUAUAAUCUAAUACUUUCAUUAUUUGUUGCCUAUAUUAUGCCAGCUUUGAUGAUUGGGAGCUCUUUCAGGAUAAUACCUUGGUCCCCAUAUCCUUUCCACAUGCUCCCAUACUUUACUGUUUUAUUGUUAUUUGUGUGUGUGUGUUCAUGUGUGUGUUUAAGCACUCCCUUACUUUAUGGAACAAUAAAUAUUUGACCUGUUUUUGAUUGGUCAUGAAGCAUUUAUGCAAACACAGCUGAAAGUAUUAGCUACAGAGCAAAACAUGGUAUUGUGUAGCAACAUUGCAUCCAGCAAGUUAAGAUCCUUUUUCUGAGCUAAUAUUGCAGAAACACUCUCAUUUAUAAUGAUUGUUAUGGUAAUAAAAAUAUUUUGUGUGCCACAUUACAGUUGGAAAAUAUUAUCUCUGAUUCCUCUUGGAAUAUCUUUACUUUGAUGGGCAUAUUAUUGUUAAAGAUUAUAAGGAGAUUUUAGGACUAUUAGGAUAUUAGGAACUAUGGAGUUUUAAAUCCUCAAAAUAGGAUACAAAACCAUUUCUCAAUGGCAAACUUUCUCCUUUUUCUAAUGUGCACGGUGAGUGGCAGUAUUAUCUCUAUUUAUAUAGAGAUAAUUUAUAUACACCAAAUUAGAAGGACCUUCACAAGAAAACAAUGGUCAUAUCUUAUAAGGAUGCUUCUCAGGUUUUGGGGAACUACACAGUAAAAAUAUUUAUUGAGUUUUAAGAGGGAAAAAUGUAGUUAGUCUAAUUAGUGCAAUAAUAGAUUUCUUGAUAAAUUUCUGUAAGUUAAACAGUGUUACCAGGUACUUCCUGUGAGAUACCAUCAGCAACAUACAUCACAGAAAACAUGUCAUUCUCUGUAACUGAUGUAGUUAUCUCAUAGGUACAAGGAUCAUUGUAAUGCCAUUUUAUCCCUUUAAAAAUUUUAAACAUGACAGUUUUGUUUUUCCCAAAAACUAAUUGCUGAAUAAUAUCACUAUUAAAUAUAUAUUUUUCGAGAUAAUAUUAUUAACUAUGGUUCAGUCAGAAACAAAAGUUAAUUUUUGUAGAUGAAUCUUACCAUAAAUGCUGCUGGUAUUAUUUUGAUAGAAUACCUUAGAAUUUCCCCAAUUUUCUUUGGGAAUAGGGAUAUAUCCAAAAGUUAAUUAAAGUUUCUAUUCAGUUAUAUAUACACUCUUAUUAAAUCUAAAAAAAAAAAAAAACCCAUCUAAAUAAAGAGUUUAUCCUAAAAUUACCAUAAUUAGAAAAAUAAUAAUAUAAAUUAUCAAAUGAGUUAAAAUACAUGUAAGUAGCGCUAUUUAAAGAUACCAAUCUUGGGGCACCUGGGUGGCACAGUCGGUUGAGUGUCCAACUUUGCUCAGGUCAUGAUCUCACAGUUUGUGGGUUCGAUCCUCAUAUCGGCUCUGUGCUGACAGCUUAGAGCCUAGAACCUGCUGCGGAUUCUGUGUCUCCUUCUUUCUGUGCCUCUCCCCUGCUCACUCUGUCUCUGUAUCUGUCUCAAAAAUAAAUAAACAUUAAAAAUAUAAACAAAGAUAUCGAUCUUGGCUAGUUAUUCUCAAGUAAAGCUACUUUAUAUUGUUUAUGGUACUGAAAUUUUGUUGAGAGUUUUUUUCUGCUAGUCUGAUACCAAUACUGUCCUGCACACACACAUGCACACACACUUAGAGAUAUUUAUUAUUUAUAUUAAAAUGUAUUGGUUUAUUAUUGAGAUUGAUAUUCUGAGAUUCAUUACAAGGAAUUGCCUUAUGUGAUUAUGGGGGGGGUACCUAAGCAAACCCAAAAUCAGUAGAGCAGGUAGUCAGGAGGGGAGGUUGUAAGUAGGAAGGCACUCCACUGGCACAAGACCAGAGGUAUUAUCCACAGAUGGAAUUUCUUCUUCCUUGGGAAAGCAUACCCUUUUAAGGCUUUCCAAGGGAGUAAGGAAGAUCCACUCCAAUAAUCUAGAAUGAUUCCUCUUACAAAAGUUAAACUGUUUAGGACUUUAAUUGAACCAGAAAAACUCUUUUCCAGCAAUACACAAAUAUGAGAUUGAAAGACUAGGGACUGUAACCUAGCAAGUUUAACAUAUCAAAAAAGCUAUCAUAGCCAUAAUUCAACCUCCCCUUCUCUUACAUUCUUUUUAAUUUAAUUAUAGCAGUAGCAACAAAGAAAAACAUAACCUGAAUAUUUAAAACAGUAUUUUUCUUCCCUCAGAAUCACUGAUUUUUUUCUUAAAUUAUAUGAGCAUAUAUUAUUCUAUUCUUACCAUUCAGCAUUGCAAGUAGAGUUAUAAUUAGGAGAUACAUAAAAAGGUGGGAUUUCUCAAAGUGAUAUUAGUUUUGAGCAUCAAGACCCCGUGUUUAAUGUAAAGUCUUAAUGUAUUACAAAGGAAAGUUAUAAGGAGUGAUGCAGAAACAUUGUCAGUGGGGUCAGAAGUAUAAACAUUUAGCUAUUAAAGUUCAAGACUCUAAAUAAUGUAAAAAAUUUUGGAAAUUUAUAUGGUAUGAUAUACAGUAUGAUAUACUGUAUGAUAUAUAUGUAUAUGUAUACAUGUAUACAUGUAUAUGUAUAUACAUAUACAGUAUAUGUAUACUGUAUGAUAUAUACAGUAUGAUAUGGAAAGUGUUUCCUUAUUAAACUUCAGUGUAUUACACUUUAUUUAUAAUUUAUUUUCUGUGACAACACUGCAAAUGUCUAAGAAUCUUACAGAGGAUCAGAAAUGCAAUAUUUAGGGGCACCUGGGUGGCUCAGUUGGUUAAGUGUCCGACUUUGGCUCAGGUCAUGAUCUCACAGUUUGUAUGUUCGAGCCCCGCGUCAGGCUCUGUCCUGACAGCUCAGAGUCUGGAGCCUGCUUCACAUUCUGUGUCUCCCUGUCUCUUGGCUCCUCCCCUGCUCAUGCUCUGUCUCUCAAUAGUAAAUAAAUGUUAAAAAAAUUAAAAAAAAAGAAAUACAAUAUUUAGGACAUACAAACAUGUGUCUUUGAUUUCCCAAGGUCUAAAUCUAAGCAUGAUUAAUACUGUUUUAACUCAGUGUUUUGUGUUGUUUUGUUUUUAUUAAAUUUGCAUUACUACUAAAGUCUGAUUGAGACAGCACUUUAACAUAUUGUUGUUUUUUUUUUUUUAAUUUUUUUUUCAAAUUUUAUUUAUUUUUGGGACAGAGAGACACAGAGCAUGAACGGGGGAGGGGCAGAGAGAGAGGGAGACACAGAAUCGGAAACAGGCUCCAGGCUCUGAGCCAUCAGCCCAGAGCCCGACGCGGGGCUCGAACUCCCGGACCGCGAGAUCGUGACCUGGCUGAAGUCGGACGCUUAACCGACUGCGCCACCCAGGCGCCCCAACAUAUUGUUUUUUAAAGAGAAUAGGAAAAAUUUUAUACUUACUUAAAAACAGAAUACCUGUAACAAAUCAUGGACAGAGGUGCAUGCCAAUACUUUGGUUAUUUCCCCUUUAACAUUUUGAAGGCUACUUUCCAGGGAACCUUCCAACCAGGAAGCUUUAGUUCUUUCAUUUUUCCCUCAAAUACCUUAGAUGACAUUCUUCUGGUUCUCUUAUCUGCUCCAACUUCCUGACCAAAGGUUAAUCUGUAUAGGUAAGUAGAGGAAAAGGCUCAAUUAGAGAUCAAAUUUACAUCUUUUCUUGAAGUUUCCUCUUAUUAACACCUAACCCUAAAUUAUCUGCAUCAUGAAUACCUGAAGUGCUUGUUAAAAAUCUAAUUUCCUAGGCUCCAGCCCAGAAGCAGAAUUACCAUAGUGGGACCAAGGAAAUCAACAUGAUAGAACACCCCUGAGUAUUCUCCUGUGCACUUUAUUUUGAGAACAACUACUUUUAGGUAAACUAUUUGUAACAUAGGACUUCAAAUAUUUAAACUUUUAGGAAAUACUUGUUUCUCUGUAGUGCAUUUUGUACUAUUCUUUAGGAGAACAAUAAGAAACUAAUCAUUUAAAAGUACAUAUCAACUAGUUUAGAUCAUUCGAAUGAAUCACCCUGAGAAGGCUUCCUACCUCCCCUGUCAAUUGAACAACUUAUUUAAGGAGCUCUGUCAGAUACAAUCCACUUUACUUCACUUUGUCCCCCGCUGAUACCGUUUUACAGGGGAUUGCCAACACGCUGAGUGCCUGAGGGAUCUAAACUCAGAUUACAAAAGCAAACCCUGAAUGCAUGCUCUCUGGAAGGUAGACUUCUAGCAGCUACAAUACCAAGUGUUUAGGAGUGUGUCAAAUAACAGUGACACCCCCUUGCAACUGUUUCCCUUUAUGAGAUAUUUUUAAUGCUGAUCCUCAAGAAAAGAUUCUCAUGGACAGAUUUCUAGUAUCAAGAACUCACUAGAGAUCAUAGCACAAAGUCAUGCUCCAUAUGCAUUCUGUAGCCAAAAUUCCAAGUCUGGCCUAGAGAUGAGAGGAUAAUUAAAUCAUGUCUUCUCCCAACCCACCCACCCCCACAAAUAAUUGUUUCACUUUAUUCUUGCUAAAGAUCCUUUGAGCAAUAUUACAAUGCUAUUUCUAUAAAUACAGAGCGAGAUCUAUCCCUCACAUGGAGAUAAAUGUCCAAGCUCUUUUCCUAGUAUGUCAGGAAUUUAAGAAACUUUUGUUUUCUUGCUCUUUGAAGACUGCAGCCAACUAACAUGCUAACAAAAUAAAGACUUUACAAUACAGCAGGCUGAGAAGUCUAUUCAGAAACCUAUCAAUUGAACUGUAAUUUUAAAAUCAUAUGUAACUGAAUUUUAAAAUUCGUAGAUACCCGCUGCCUGCUUGUAAAACAGACAUGGUGAACUCCAUUAGAAACUGUCAAUAGCCAGACCUUUCUUCCCGUUCCACUACUGAACUCAAAUCUUAGAAGCUUAUCCCUGGAAGAUUUGCAUAGUCCCAUCAAAGCCAUUCAGUCUAUAGUACUCAAAGUAAUUCAGACAAACUUAUUUCUUUUUUUUUUUUUUUUUUCAACGUUUAUUUAUUUUUGGGACAGAGAGAGAGACAGAGCAUGAACGGGCGAGGGGCAGAGAGAGAGGGAGACACAGAAUCGGAAACAGGCUCCAGGCUCUGAGCCAUCAGCCCAGGGCCUGACGCGGGGCUCGAACUCAUGGACCGCGAGAUCGUGACCUGGCUGAAGUCGGACGCUUAACCGACUGCGCCACCCAGGCGCCCCAAGACAAACUUAUUUCUAAUUAGGAAAGAUGCAUAGCAAACAAAACAAACAAGGAGGUCUUCAUUCCUGCCAGCUUAAAAGAGAGUCUUUUCACCACCGGCUCAUAUGCAAGCCUUUUAAUUUUUUACUUUUAAUUUUUCAGAGAGCUUACAUACUCCCUCUGCAUUAAGUACUACUGUUAAACAGAUCCAAUAUUCGAUUAAAUUCAGUACUCUUCAAGACACAAAGGCAGACAUAAAAAUUUAAAAAUAUGCCCUCAAGGAACUUAUUCCUAAAAUUGUGUGGAGGACAAAGUAAUUAUGAAGAUGAUGUAAUGGCAUAUUUUAGGUGUCUCAGAAGAAGGGGGAAAGUACCAUUGAGGUUCAAAGCCAGACUUUUUUGAGUCUAAAGUCUCAGAGGUGACCCUGACCUCCUCCAGGUAACAAGGGAGCUACUAACUUGGAAAAUAGUAAAUGCAUGGAAUGCUUAAGUUUACAGUAAAGAAGGACAUGUUAACAUACUGAUUUUAACAUAUUGAUACCAAGCCAUAGCACAUCAAUUUUGAAAAUACUGCCUCUGUUGGAAUUUGGUGAAACAACUUAGCCUCUUAAGUUAUGGAGGCAGCACAGUCCAGAGUUUAGGAGGAUGUGAAGUAGCAUAAACCACGGUACUGCUACAAGUUACCUAAGGUAAUAACUAUGUGACCUUGAGCUAAUUACUUUUCUUCACACCCUCAGUUUCCACAUUAUUAAAAGGGUGAAACAAUAGUACCUAGGCUUGUUUCGAUUGCCUAGUACACACAUAAGUGUGUGCACACACAUGGUCUUUAGGAAGCUUGGAGUUUGCCAUCCUAAAUACUUUGUGAGCAUUAGCCACUCUGAGUUUGUCAUCAGGAAAAACUCUUAAUCUCAAAGCAAAGAAGUAUUGGGACAAGAAUCUAUUUUUGCCCUUGGCUGAGUGACAAAUCCAAAUAUUAUACACUUGUAAGUAAUGUAGAGGAGUAAGAUGGGCCACAAAUAAAUGUUUAUUUCUAUUUUUGAAAUCUAGAGUCUGUGGUUCUUCUUUUGUCUUUCCUUUUUGACAAAGACAUAGGUACAGAUAAUAUUUCUAUAGUAUAAGGAGAGCAGCAGAAUGAGGACAACAAUGAAUGGCAAAUGUCACUCUUCUGUGAUGUCAGGAGGAUGAAAAACAAUUGUGGAAAUUGUUGAUUUGGGUAGUUUAUGCCCCUUCUAGAAAGAAUAGAUGUUACUCAGAUCUUGACAACCCUUGUCAUGUAGAAUUUCAGAUAUGAUGUUAGUGGAUUUUUCAAAAGAAAUUGGAAAUCUUGAUUUCUUAAAAAUAAAGUCUACUGGUUGAAAUGUAAAGUUGAAACAAAAAAAACAACAAAAAAUUCCAUUCACACUUAUUCUGCCUAAGAAACUGUGCUUGUGAAAUUGCUCAUAUAACCUCCAUCUUAUUGUUCUAUUUGAUGUAACCAUAAAUAUGUGUGUUCCUCUCUUGUCUAUUUAUAUUACCAGUGAAGGGAAUUGGCAGUAGGCAACCCCUGAGACUUUUUUUUUUUACUGCCAAAUUCCUGCUAUUUUUUUCUCUCAGCAUCCCAAUAGAAAUCAGAGGAGCAAUGUUAUCAUGUUUGGCAUCAUCAGUGAAAAACUGGACACUAUUUAUAAUUUAGCCUAAUAAUUCUAAACCAUGUCUCAUAUUAAAACAACUCAAGUUUUCUGAUUGAAUUAGUUACAAGUCGGUCCAGGGCAUCAUUGUUAUUUUAAAGCUUUCUGGGAAAUUCUAACACAGAGACAGAGCUCCAAUAACUGCUCUAGUUUGGACUUAUCUUUUUACACAUAAGGAAAUUGAAGACAUCAGGAAAUGAUACACUUAAAUAGUCUCAUAGACUAAUUACAAAUUAUGCCUGACAUGUGCCCUAAGUGCUAGUGUUAUGUAUAGCUGCUGAAGUGGUCACUGUUAGUCUUUCCGAACAUUGUGGAUUUGUUUUCUACUAUAGGCAAUUUAGCUUAUUAAAAGACCAAAGCAAAGCAACUACUGGGGUCAAGGACUUUAUCUUUUAUUAUCUCAGAACCAAAAUUUCAACUCAUAGAUUCCAUUUGAGGCUGUAAACAGUGGUUCUGUAAUGUCAGAUGAAACACUGACAUGCUUAUGAAAUCACCACAAAGUACAUUUUCUCUUGGGUGACACCUAUAGUGGUCCCGUUGAAUCAAGUUUUGUAUUUAAAGUGCUGCAUUUCUUAUUUAAUGUGACAAGUGGUUGAGACUAUUAAUUUUCUUUUCAGCAGACUCCUAAGAGGAAAAAUAAAAGCAUGGUCUCACUAGAAGGAAAUAUAUAACAUCAACAUGUAAUCCAUACACCUCAAGGACCACAAAUUUGCAUAGGCACUUAGAAUAGUACCUCACACUAAAUAUAUGUUGUAAUUACACUUACAUUAUUAUCUCUAGAAUUCUCUCAUAUACAGAGAGUAUUUUAGAAUAGUUCAUACAGGGAGUGUAUUUUAUUAUUUGAUAAUGUUUUAUAUGAGUUUGGAGCAGAGUUAAGCAAACUGUUUUUUUUUUUUCUUUUUUUGUAAAUGGCCAGAUAGUAAAUAUUUUAGGCUUUGCAAGUAUUUAACUCUACCAUUGUAGUGGGAAAGCAGCUGUAGAGAAAAUGUAAAUAAAUGAGCAUGCUGUGUCCCAAUAAAACUUUAUUUAUAAAAGCAGGCUUCAGGCUGCAGGUUGGAGUAGACCCAUGGAUCAUAAUUUGCCAACUUCUGCUAUAGUGGGUAAUAAUAAAUGACACCCAAUUUUUGAAUAUUGAUCUAGUUAUAAGUAUGUAUGCUUCCAUAACUACAGAAAUCCCCAUUUAACUCAAUAUGAAAAUAAAUCUAGGCAAUAUACAUACUUAGUUAAGUAGAAUGAUCAAAUCAAAUAUAUUUAAAGCAUUUGAUGAGUUGUAGGAAUAGUGGUAGAGAAGCUAAAAGCUAUAAGAAGUUGCAAAAAUAUCUUCUUUUCUGUGAUAAUUUACAUACCGUUUGAAAAAGAAGAUCUAACCUAGGAUUUUUUAUUCUUAUGACUCAAAUUAGACAAAAAUUUUUGAAAACAGGCAUAUUGUACUACAAUGGGUACUCACUAAAAUCAUCUUAUUUCUCUUGAUCCUUACCCUGGUUAUUUGUUUGAUCAAUUUCUAAUAAGAUUUGAUUGAGACUGGGAUUCAUACUUCAUCAGUUUCUCAAUUUUAAAAUGAGACAUUAAUCCUUUUGCAAAUUCUACCAUUUCUACCUUUACUGGGUAAUAAAUGCCACCACAUGUACACCUGUCUACAUAGUCCCCUACUGAGUAGAUGCAACAGCUGCUGGUAAACAUUGCUUAGGACCUUGCUACUCAAACUGAUUCAUGGGCCAAUAGUAUUUAUAUCACCUGGGUUAUUAUUAGAAUUAUUAGAAAAGCAGAAUACUGAAUCAGAAUCAUAUGUGUAUGCAUUAAAGUUCAAAAACCACUACUUAGGACACAUACAAAAUAUGCUUUUAAGUGACUCAGUUGAAAUUGGAGAUGACUUUAUGAUCUUAUAAUGUUUAUUUUAAUUAGAAAUUUACCCUAAGGGUGCCCUAAACAGUAGGGACUCAAGCCUUGCCUAGGACUGCAAAACAAAUCCAACCAAAUGGGGAAAAUGUCCUUUAGCCAAGGAAAUCAGAGUAUACAAUUGAAAAUAUUUACUUUUCAACUGACACCUCUUAUAUCCUAUUGAGAGAAUCAUUAUACUCAUAUAGUUAUUACGUGGUAAGUUGGCCCAAGGGUUUUCAUUACUAUUUUUUAUGCUAACACCUGGAAUAUAACUAUUCCAGAGGUGUAAACUGCCCAAUGAUAGGAAUGUUGACCAUAGAACACUGGAAUGGAAUAUGGAGGCCACAUUUAUAAGACACUAGAGAAUCCAUUAUUUUCACUUUAACGUCAAUUCAACAACACUUCCAUCUUAGAGGAUAAGGAAGGGAGAGUUAGCUCUCCUUUUCAAACCUCUGACAGCAUUUUAGUAUAUUAUUCCCCAGAGUAUACUGCUUUGGUCCUGACCCAUAUUUCCAUUGAAUUACACCUUGACAUUAGGAGUAGACCAGAGGUCCCCAGAACAGAUGGUUGUACACUUUCCCGAUAGGUGUACAAAGUAGUCCGUGGGGAGAAGAAUGGCAAUAUUGAAAUUUUAUUUCAAAUUUUUUAGUUUCCUCAUACUUCACUUCAAAUUCUGUACUACUUACUAAUAUAAGUGUCCAUUAAUAAUGAAGUUAAUAUUAAAUACUCAUAUAUUAGAGAUGCAGAUUCACUCGUUUUACUUAGAGUAGUAUACAUUCAAAACAUGGAAGCCUUUAGAGUAGAAAACCAGGAAAGCUCCAAAAUGAUUAUCUAUCAGAAUUAUUUUUAAUUUUUCAAUCUGUAUAUAUACUAUGGAUAUUAGAAUAAAUUUAAAAGACAUUUCUUAACAAAAUUGAUGAAUAUUUUGUUAUUUUAUUAUUUCAAUUAGUAAUCUAUAUUUUAGGAGAGCAUUAUUUUCUUAUAUAAUGUAUAGAGAACCAUAGACAUUAUAUGGUACAAGAAACUGGAUUCAUAAUUUUUUACAAUAAAAUACCAAAAGAUCAUUAUUUCCAUGAGCAGCCAAGUCAACAUAUAACUCUUAAAUGAUUAAAGUGUAGUCAUUUUCACACACAAAGAAAACUUAUAUUUUGACUCACUUUGGCUUCUAUUAUUCUGACUAUAUGCUUCCUUUUUAUUACUUGUUAACUCUACAUAGUAGUCUUCAAUUUAUUUUUCCUACAUUUCUAUCCUGGCUGUCAGUUUCAGAUGUAUAGUGAGUAGCUUUAAAAACAGUUUCUGCCUCAACUCUCCUAACUGCUAUAAAUGUUGAACUACUUGCCAAACUGAAGUCUGCCAUUGCCUUAAAUCUGUACCUUCUGAAUAGUUAACAGGAUCCCCUAUUUUUAAUGUUUGAAUAUAACGGAAAUACACCCAGAUGCUUUUAAGUAAAACAAAAAAGUGCUACUUUGUGCUUUGAAGAACAUGCCAGUCAUGAAACAUACUUCUGAUCGAUUUCAACUGACUACAUCCUUAUUGGUCUGUGUUUAUAAGCAUUAAAGAUAACUUUUUCACCUUUCUUUAUAAUAUUGAGAUUGCUCUAGCAGAAUGGAAUGGAUCAACAGUUCUGUUCAAUACUUCUGUGUCAGUCCCAGAGACACAUGCCUAUGCUUGUCUUUUAAAACAGCGAAAGUAUAUACCACCUCAUAAACUUUUAUUUGUAAGAGCAUUUGUAGUGUCAAAGUACAUUAAUAGGUUUUUAGAAUUAAAAAAACUAUUAUUGCAAAGUUUGACCAAGAUUAAAUAAAAUGUAAAUGAAUUUUGGCUAACUAAUGCUGCUUAAACACUAUAAACAAUGAAGGAUCCCACUGAAACACUAAAGACCAGGAUUGUACUGGCUGUUCACCUAAUUUUGAAACUUCUUAAUGUAGCAUAAAUUACAAUAUGAUAAGCAUAUGAAUUAUUUUGGCUUCAAUUUUCAUUUUUUUCUUUAUGCCCCUUGCUGCAUUUUAGACUCUUAAUUUGUUACCUAAUUACCUAUUAACAUUAAGUAUAUAUUAGAGGUUAAUGCUAUAUUGAAAUACCUAUAUAUGUAUAUUCAUAAAUGUAGUUUUAUACAAAUAAAACACUAUAGAUUUGAAUGGAUUUUGUAGAUAAUAUUUAAUUAUUUCUAGAUAAAGUAGCAACCUGGGAGUUGGAAAACCUUAGUUUGGAUCCACUACUAAUUAAUGACAUAACUUUGGGUAUGAAUGUCAAUUAAAUUUCUGGACUUUAGUUUCUUCAUGCAUCAAAAGUAGAUGAAACCAGUUUUAUGGAUUUGCAGUAUUUUCUGUAUUGCAAAAUAGAUCAUUUGAAAUCUAUAAAACUCUAAUAAGAAGUGCCUUGUUACCAAUAAUGUCACAAAAUGAGCAGUGUUUAAGUUUUAAGUCAACUAGGUCUUCCCAUUGGGCCAAUGCGAAUUUAAUUUCAGUGUGCAUAUGCAUAUGUGUGUAUCUAUGUGUCUGUAUGCCAUUAAAAUUUAUUUUUAAAAUUUGAACUAGAUUUUACCAAUAGUUUCUAUUCCCCCUCCCUGCCAGCCUACAUAUGUUAAUAAAGUUUGUCAACAUCUCAGUUACCAAAGUGACACUAUUUCAUAUGUCUUCUAUGAGCUAAAGAAGGUAUUAUUCAAUAUGUAAGCAUUCAGAGACCUCAAAAAGACUCUACUAAAAGGAAUUAUUUUUUUCUUUAUACUUUCCUUUAAUUGACACUUAACAUGAACAGUCUCUGCCUUAAAAAAAAAAUACUAGUAAGUAAAAAUUCAAAAAUAAAACUAAAAGUAAUGGUUUUAUAGCCAUUAUUGGAAGGAUUAUUUCUUUAAAAAAGAGUCAUUUUAAAUGAAUAUUUUCUUAUAUAGACAAAACCUACACUCUCAUUUGUGGACAUAUUGAGGAAGUAAUUCUUAGUAAAGAGAAACACAAGAAUCCUAAGAAAGAAUCUCUCAAAAUAUGUUCUUAAAAUAUUCCAAAAAUAUUCCAAAUUUGCCACAGCACUCUCUUCAUGUAAGACUUUAAAUUUUAGUUAAGUUAAGCAAAGAGUAAGAUGAGAAAAUAAUAAUAUUGAGAUUGUAUAUUUGCUUAAUAAUGUAAUCAAUUUACAUGAAAUUACCUAACUAAACCAACGCUGAAGACGUCUAUAAUUUGCCACAAGCCAUUUUCCAUUGACCCCUAUAACAGCAGUAGCUCUUUCAUAAUAUGCUGUGUGACAUAUGUAAUGCUUCAGUAAUGCUAAUUGAGGGGGAAAAAUUAUUAAUGGUAAACCCAGUAGAAUCCCCAAAUGGUAGAUAUACUUGUGCAAUUCAUGGUUAAAACAUUGAAAUAGAAGAAUAAUUUUAUUUUGUUUUUAAUAAUUUAAGAGUGUCAUAGCUAUACUUAAUAGCUAAUGAUCACUAGGAAAUACCCAUGUAGGUUUAUUGCAUUUUGGAAAUUUGUGGAUUGCUUUUGAGAAAAAAUAAUGUGCAAUUUUAAAAUAAUCAUAAAAUUGUCGAAAGUGUCCCAACUAAUAGCUAUAAAUCUAUAUGAACAAUUUCUCAUCUUUAACUAUUAUCAAAAUAACCACUUGAGUACAUUCAUUUGAAUAAUUUGCUAAUUUUCACCAAAAAAACAGUCCAACUCGCCUGAUGGUUUGCUGAGGUGUCUAGAAACAUCCCUUAAAAUGGUAGAUGUUGAACAUGUUGUCAUAGGUUUUUUUAUGCUUGUAGAGAGUAGGAAAUACAACUUCAGUCAAAUAAACCUGUGCUUUGCAUGAAGUCUAUGAUAAGCUGUGAAAAUAGAUUCAUUUGUAGUAAAGGUCAUUUGUGAUAUAUUUUAAAUAGUAUUAGAGACUUAGUGCAUACUUCUGCUCAUACGACCUCGUGUGUGUGUGUGUGUGUGUGUGUGUGUGUGUACACAUAAGUUUUAUACUUUCAGGUUCUCAUAAAAUUAUGGAAAAAUAUCUUGAUUCAGGUUUUUUGUAUGUGUUUUAAUUUGGCAAUUUCCAGCAAGUAGUAUUACUUUUUCACUUUGCAGAGACCUGAUAAGACAUUAACUGAAAUUUACCAUGAAAAGUCCUGGGAAUUCUUCAGUUGAACAUUUUUUUUUUACCUAUACUGAGCAGAGAUAUUUGAAAUUGUUGAUGCUAAAUUCAGUAUUCAUCCAUUUUUCUAUUUCACAUUAUGUUUCUCAAAGCUUACGAGUUAUGUAGGGAAAUCUGCUUGAAGACUUACAUCUCUAAGUUAGAGUUAAAAAAAUCUAAGAAGUUAAGUUCUAAUAAACAAAAGCUGUAAACUGUAUUACAGGUAGCUCUUACAGUUUGUGUUCCCAACAUGUCUAACUUACUGCAGUGCAUUAUGUUGUAGUUAUAGGAACACAAUUACUGGACCAUGGCAUGGUUUGUUUGGUGAGCUCAGCCAUCUUAUCUGUUUGAAUUACUCCACAGUCACUCUAAUCAAUUCAGCUGUGAUCAGUGGUUAAAUAUGGCUGGAAAAAAAAAUCAACCAUGAAACAGUCAAUUUAGAGACUGCCUAAAAAAUACACAUACACUGUGGGGAAAAUAGAUUCUAAUGAUAAUAAAAAAAAUUGAAUAAAAUAGCUGAAAAUAAGUUGAGAUGAAAUAGAAUUUAUUUUAACACUUGAAAUCCUCUAAAUAUUUUUGGGGGUAAGGACCAGUUUCUCAAAAUAAUAUGAACCUUUCUCUAAUCCAACUGCCACUUGCUUUAUGAAUUUUUUUGUAGAAAUGAUAAUAAGUCAUAAUUUCUACAGAAAUUUUCUCUAGAAAUAUCCUCUAUUUACAGCAUCUAUUCACUCCAUUUUUCAUUCAGAGAGUAAUGAAACACAUAAUCCUCUGCUAAGUUUGCUGUGGAAAAUCCCAUUGCAUUUCAAAGCAGUAAUCUUUCUAGUCAAAAGAUAACAUUUUUAAAGGUUGAAUUGGACCCCUGUGUUUUCCUUAACUAGACACCUGAGAAUGAAAAACACAACUGUCAAGAUAUCUCCUAGCUGGCAUUACAGGCAACUUAAUCCAUUUACUUAUUGGUAUGAUGUUCUGCUGGCAGCAGGCCAGAAUAUACUAAUAAAACACUUGAAUUCAUUAUUUAAAUGCCUAUAUUUCUCCCCCAAUCCCCAAAAAAGCAUGUCCAGUGAAGUUUUAGGGUUUUUGAAGGAGAAAGUGAGCUAGUUUCUUAGAAACUGGUAAGUUAAGAAACAUAUUACAAAUUAGAUAAUUGUAACUACAAACAAAAUUUUAAAAAAUCCUGAAAUAUGAUAAACAUGUAUCAGUUAUUUUUCAGAGUAUAUUUCAAAUAGAUGCCACAUAAUUAACUGAAUUUCUGUAGAAUCUAAGGACACACAUUAAAAUUAACAGACAAGUGACCAAAUUUCAAAGAACUAGCUUCAGAAGUAGAAAGUUUAUGGGACAUCAGACUAAGAUUGAUAUUGUCAUUAUAAAACCUCCCUGCACUUUAAAAUCAGAUAAUAUAUGUGAAGACUAAUUAAUGGAUGGUCUUUCAUUUUGUAGAGCUAUUCCUAUAAAGUAGAUGAGACUCUGAAGACUUAGCUAAACUUUCAAGAUAGGAUAGCUUUUCUUUUUUCUUUCCAUCAGAUGACUUUAGAAUGAAAAUCUCCAUAUGUGUAUAGGUCUAUGUAUACACUUGUUUGAACACAUUUAUAUUAAUAAGUAAUAUAUAUAUAUAUGUGUGUGUGUGUGUGUGUGUGUUAAGAAUCUUUUGUACUAAAGCAGUGACCUGCUGUCAUCAGUUUUCUCAAGUACUAUUCAGAAAUUUGCUUUGGUUUCUAAAAAAAAUCAAUGAAGAAAUGAGAAAUGUUUCUUAAAUAGUAGGGACUGACAUUAUAGUGAUCUUUAUUGAGCACCACCUGACAUAACUAGAUAAAAAAGAACAAUGAACUGAUCUUGCAGUAAGAACUGAAACAACUGAAAAAUAUUUACUGUUCCUAUUAAAAAUGAAUUAACCCAAACAGACAGCCUUUUAAUUGAAAUCUUUAUCACAUUUCCUUCCUAUUUAAAUGCAAAUGUAAAUCCUUUACACACUAAUAGAAAUCAGAAACUAAAAAAUGAACUACAACUUACAUGAUACAGUAACCUAAAAUAAGUUCAGGUCCAAUAUAACAUGAAACACUGAAGGUAUUAAGGUGACUUUUAUAGAAUUCUAUAUAAUGUCACUAUUUUGAGAAUUUCUAAAAUAAUUGCUUAUUUCAAGCAUUGUUUUACUUUUUAUGCUAAUUGAUAUUUAAAAUAUAUUUUUCUAAACUUUCUUAGAAGAGUAGAAAAUUAUAUUUUGGUCUUUAAUAAAUUACUAUCUACAUCACUCUAAGGUACUACAUUAUAACACCUAUUUUGCAAAGUGAAGUAUUUAUAAAUGUUUAUAUUGUAAACAAGAUUAUUUAAGUUUAACCAGAACAAUGCAUACAUUAGGUACUGUAACCAUUAGCUGUGACCUAAGCACAAUCUAAAAGAGAAAGAAAAUUUGAAAACUCCUUCAUGGCUCCUAUUGCAAGGAAGGAGACCCAGCUUGGGUUGCAUGGAAUUGAUAAAUUGGGGGUUACAUUCUGAACUAGUUCUAGUACUAGUUUUUGUUUUGUUUUGUUUUGUUUUUUUAACAGUCGAAAUCUUUUUAAUAACAAGGCAGGUUCUGGGCUUAGUUUUUGUAGCCUCGGCUGGCCCUGCGGCCUCUGGCGCGCUCGAACUUCCGGCCCUUGGAUCGCAUGUAGGGUUUGGUGUGGCUCUGUGGGGUCCCUGGGGCCUUGCCGAAAUACCUGUACACCUCUUGGCCCUUGCGCGGACCAGAGAGCAACACGGUGCCACAGCCCCUGGGGGAGUCCAGGGCCAACUGGUCGAAGGUGAGGAUCUUGCCUCCAGCUUUGACGAUGCGGCUCCGGGCACGGCUGCUCACACGCAGCGCGCACACCUUCAGUUUGGGCACCUCCUGGACCCGCACGUCAUCGGUUAUCAUCCCGACAACCACAGCGGUUUUGUUUUCCCGGCCAGGUAGCUUCAUCUUCCGGAUCAUCCGGGAAAGGGACAGAGGUGGCCGGUUGGUGCGACUCAGAACUAGUUCAGAAUGUAACCAG
Molecule: long non-coding RNA, 17016 nt
Filed under: Lynx pardinus (Iberian lynx)
Lineage: Eukaryota; Metazoa; Chordata; Mammalia; Carnivora; Felidae
Source: RNAcentral